CACGUUGUGUGUUUCCAUGGAAUCAGGGCAUUGACACAGCUCUGCCAAUACUCUCGGUUGCCCUGAUGACGAGUGGCUGAUUUUAUCAAGACUGCCAUUUUGAAUGCCAUUUCCACGCUUGAUGUGGGAUGCAAUGGCCUUUCUGCCAGGUGCAGGAAGCAGGCUGACAAGGAAGGAGGCAGUCCUUUAGGUAUCAUCGAACCAAGCCGCUUAGGGCUUUAAUGAUGAUUGUGUGCUUUGUUGUGCUAUAUAGUGGAGAAGAACAGACGGAAACUUUGACUCGCAGAUAAAGGGAACAACAGGCUCAAUGGAG
This is a long non-coding RNA of Podarcis raffonei (Aeolian wall lizard), 313 nucleotides long. RefSeq lists it as uncharacterized. The transcript is spliced from 3 exons. NCBI's taxonomy places the organism in Eukaryota, Metazoa, Chordata, Lepidosauria, Squamata, Lacertidae. The record is from RefSeq and is a predicted model, not a curated record.